This 78-nucleotide transfer RNA is filed under the name Planctomycetota bacterium. RNAcentral's name for it is "Planctomycetes bacterium (marine sediment metagenome) tRNA-OTHER". It matches the Rfam family "tRNA". From Rfam's summary of the family: Transfer RNA (tRNA) molecules are approximately 80 nucleotides in length. Their secondary structure includes four short double-helical elements and three loops (D, anti-codon, and T loops). Lineage: Bacteria; Pseudomonadati; Planctomycetota. The record is from RNAcentral. RNAcentral also lists the same sequence under 1 other name.
AGCGGAGUAGCUUAACGGGUAGAGCGCUGUGCCGGUUAACCCCACACAGAGAUGUAGGUUCGACUCCUGCCCCCGCUA